RNAcentral lists this ribosomal RNA (451 nucleotides) under uncultured bacterium. RNAcentral describes it as "bacterial SSU rRNA". It matches the Rfam family "Bacterial small subunit ribosomal RNA", at positions 340 to 784 of the family's 1533-position model. The record is from RNAcentral.
UACGGGAGGCAGCAGGGGGAAUAUUGCACAAUGGGCGCAAGCCUGAUGCAGCCAUGCCGCGUGUAUGAAGAAGGCCUUCGGGUUGUAAAGUACUUUCAGUCGUGAGGAAGGUGUUAAGGUUAAUAACCUUAGCAAUUGACGUUAGCGACAGAAGAAGCACCGGCUAACUCCGUGCCAGCAGCCGCGGUAAUACGGAGGGUGCGAGCGUUAAUCGGAAUUACUGGGCGUAAAGGGCACGCAGGCGGUUAAUUAAGUUGGAUGUGAAAUCCCCGGGCUUAACCUGGGAAUGGCAUUCAAGACUGGUUAGCUAGAGUCUUGUAGAGGGGGUAGAAUUCCAUGUGUAGCGGUGAAAUGCGUAGAGAUGUGGAGGAAUACCGGUGGCGAAGGCGGCCCCUGGACAAAGACUGACGCUCAUGUGCGAAAGCGUGGGGAGCAAACGAGGGAUUAGAUA